UACAGAGGGUGCAAGCGUUUAAUCGGAAUUACUGGGCGUAAAGCGUGCGCAGUCGGUUAUUUAAGUCGGGCGUGAAAGCCCCGGGCUCAACCUGGGAAUUGCGUUCGAUACUGGAUAGCUAGAGUUCGGGAGAGGGAUGCGGAAUUCCAGGUGGUAGCGGUGAAAUGCGUAGAUAUCAGGAGGAACACCGAUGGCGAAGGCAGGUCUCUGGGCCACUACUGACGUGAGAAGCGAAAGCAUGGGGAGCGAACAGG
RNAcentral lists this ribosomal RNA (254 nucleotides) under uncultured bacterium. RNAcentral describes it as "partial 16S ribosomal RNA". It matches the Rfam family "Bacterial small subunit ribosomal RNA", at positions 524 to 776 of the family's 1533-position model. The record is from RNAcentral.